GACGAACGCUGGCGGCGUGCUUAACACAUGCAAGUCGAACGGAAAGGCCCUGCUUUUGUGGGGUGCUCGAGUGGCGAACGGGUGAGUAACACGUGAGUAACCUGCCCUUGACUUUGGGAUAACUUCAGGAAACUGGGGCUAAUACCGGAUAGGAGCUCCUGCUGCAUGGUGGGGGUUGGAAAGUUUCGGCGGUUGGGGAUGGACUCGCGGCUUAUCAGCUUGUUGGUGGGGUAGUGGCUUACCAAGGCUUUGACGGGUAGCCGGCCUGAGAGGGUGACCGGCCACAUUGGGACUGAGAUACGGACCAGACUCCUACGGGAGGCAGCAGUGGGGAAUAUUGCACAAUGGGCGGAAGCCUGAUGCAGCAACGCCGCGUGCGGGAUGACCGCCUUCGGGUUGUAAACCGCUUUCGCCUGUGACGAAGCGUGAGUGACGGUAAUGGGUAAAGAAGCACCGGCUAACUACGUG
Molecule: ribosomal RNA, 468 nt
Filed under: uncultured bacterium
Lineage: Bacteria
Description: partial 16S ribosomal RNA
Rfam family: Bacterial small subunit ribosomal RNA
Source: RNAcentral